Molecule: long non-coding RNA, 654 nt
Filed under: Pan troglodytes (chimpanzee)
Lineage: Eukaryota; Metazoa; Chordata; Mammalia; Primates; Hominidae
Description: long non-coding RNA NONPTRT016082
Source: RNAcentral
GGUAGGUAGGGUUGCGAGCGAACAGAUUUGCACAGAAGUGCGUCAAGCCACCCCAGCAGGGUGGAUGUUCAGGGACACAGCUCUGAGCGAGACCUGCAGGCCGAGACACACGAGAACCUUCAAAGCAUAGGCUUUUAUACGAGUGACACCCCGGCCGACCUACUUGAACGGACACUUCUGUUUCUGUUCUUUCGCACCCUGCGCCUUAAAAGGGUCGCAAAACAUCAAAUCAGACGGAGUCCCGCUCUGUCACGCAGGCUGCCAGGCUGGCGUACAGUGGCGCAAUCUCAGCUCACUGCAACCUCCACCUCCUGGGUUCAAGCGAUUUUCUUGCCUCUGCCUCCUGAGUAGCUGGGAUUACUGGCACACACCACCAAUGCACAGUUGCAGGAAUUUAGCCAAUUCAGAGAUCUUGUUCUCCAUAAUUUGGAAUUUUCCUUCGGAUUUGAUCAAGUUGGAUAGAGUUGGUCAAACCCAAUGGGAAAAAGAUGAAAACAACAAGAAACAGAAACAAACAACAACAGCAACAACAACAAAAACAGUUAAGUGAAACAAACAAACAAUCACACAAUUUAUGUGGUCACUGAGUGCUCUAAUAGUAAGGAGAAAUUAAGACCAGCUGGCUGUUAGUCUUAACUCUAGCCAAGACAAAAC